AGUGAACGCUGGCGGUAGGCCUAACACAUGCAAGUCGAACGGCAGCACAGUAAGAGCUUGCUCUUACGGGUGGCGAGUGGCGGACGGGUGAGGAAUACAUCGGAAUCUACUUUUUCGUGGGGGAUAACGUAGGGAAACUUACGCUAAUACCGCAUACGACCUACGGGUGAAAGCAGGGGAUCUUCGGACCUUGCGCGAUUGAAUGAGCCGAUGUCGGAUUAGCUAGUUGGCGGGGUAAAGGCCCACCAAGGCGACGAUCCGUAGCUGGUCUGAGGGGAUGAUCAGCCACACUGGAACUGAGACAUGGUCCAGACUCCUACGGGAGGCAGCAGUGGGGAAUAUUGGACAAUGGGCGCAAGCCUGAUCCAGCCAUACCGCGUGGGUGAAGAAGGCCUUCGGGUUGUAAAGCCCUUUUGUUGGGAAAGAAAAGCAGCAGGUUAAUACCCCGCUGUUCUGACGGUACCCAAAGAAUAAGCACCGGCUAACUUCGUG
RNAcentral lists this ribosomal RNA (492 nucleotides) under uncultured bacterium. Its description in RNAcentral is "partial 16S ribosomal RNA". It matches the Rfam family "Bacterial small subunit ribosomal RNA", at positions 29 to 507 of the family's 1533-position model. The record is from RNAcentral.